RNAcentral lists this ribosomal RNA (429 nucleotides) under bacterium. RNAcentral describes it as "partial 16S ribosomal RNA". It matches the Rfam family "Bacterial small subunit ribosomal RNA", at positions 355 to 776 of the family's 1533-position model. The record is from RNAcentral.
UAGGGAAUCUUCCGCAAUGGACGAAAGUCUGACGGAGCAACGCCGCGUGAGUGAAGAAGGUUUUCGGAUCGUAAAACUCUGUUGUAAGGGAAGAACAAGUACGUUAGUAACUGAACGUACCUUGACGGUACCUUACCAGAAAGCCACGGCUAACUACGAGCCAGCAGCCGCGGUAAUAAGUAGGUGGCAAGCGUUAUCCGGAAUUAUUGGGCGUAAAGCGCGCGUAGGCGGUCUCUUAAGUCUGAUGUGAAAGCCCCCGGCUCAACCGGGGAGGGUCAUUGGAAACUGGGAGACUUGAGUGCAGAAGAGGAGAGUGGAAUUCCAUGUGUAGCGGUGAAAUGCGCAGAGAUAUGGAGGAACACCAGUGGCGAAGGCGGCUCUCUGGUCUGUAACUGACGCUGAGGUGCGAAAGCGUGGGGAUCAAACAGG